This 73-nucleotide transfer RNA is filed under the name Bombus terrestris (buff-tailed bumblebee). Its description in RNAcentral is "misc RNA ENSBTSG00005028746.1". It matches the Rfam family "tRNA". From Rfam's summary of the family: Transfer RNA (tRNA) molecules are approximately 80 nucleotides in length. Their secondary structure includes four short double-helical elements and three loops (D, anti-codon, and T loops). The record is from RNAcentral. Lineage: Eukaryota; Metazoa; Arthropoda; Insecta; Hymenoptera; Apidae.
GCCGAAAUAGCUCAGUUGGAAGAGCAUUAGACUGAAGAUCUGAAUGUCCCCGGUUCAAUCCCGGGUUUCGGCA